GUUCCUCUAAAUCAAAAGAAGCAGACCAUAAGUAGGUGAGGAAAACGAACGCCUAAAAAUAGUGAGAGACCGCCCCCAUCGUUCUGAUCCUCUCAAAAAAUUGGAAACCCAGCAAUGACAAACGACCUCCCAUCUCCGGCGAGCUUCACCUUCACUCACACACAUACGCACUCAUGAAAGAAUGAGUAAAAAAAGUGCACUUCAGAUUUGUCCUGCUUCAUCUCUGCCUCAAAUUCGAAAAAAUCAAAAGUAAUAUAGGUUCGAGCCUGACUAAGAGCUGACAUCCGCUUGAGGUCUCGUUUGAUUUUGUUUGAGUUCGCCGUUGUUUGUCGUCCAGAUUUGGUUCGCUCGAUUUCUGUCCAUUUCCGAUUUCGGCCACAGCAGUUGGUUCGUCCUGCUUGUUAAUUUUGCUUGAAAUUUCAGUCAUGUCAGAGCUCUAAUUUUCGGAUCCGGGUGGGUUCUACAGUUUCCGGUGAGAUUGCCAGUCGAGGUUGGAGAUUUCCGGCGAGGUUUCCGGUCAUAUUUGGGUUCCGUCGAGGCUUUUCGAACUCCGUUCGACGGGCUUUUCUCCUCUGAUUUGUAGCUGGCAUUUUCCUUCUGUAAUUCGAUAUAGUGAAGAAAGGUUUUGAUCUCAACGAUUUUUGGCAACGAGCAUGCUGAAUUAGAACUGUGGGAAAUUCAAUGAAUCAACUGAUCCAUUGAUCAGGUGAGUUGAAUUUUCCAUUGUCUUUAUAUAUAUGUGAUCAUGGAUUCCAUUCAGAUUCUCGUUUUUUCUUCUUUUUAAUAUUACAAAUAUGGGUAUUAGAAAAUUUAGUGAAUUCUGGAUAGAUUAAAAGAAUUGAUUAAUUGGGUUCUGUGUUUGGAUUGAAAUGCCAACAAAUUGAUGUAUUGAGAAUUGUUAUGUAAAUGGGGGUGAUUUCUUC
Molecule: long non-coding RNA, 923 nt
Filed under: Nicotiana benthamiana
Lineage: Eukaryota; Viridiplantae; Streptophyta; Magnoliopsida; Solanales; Solanaceae
Description: long non-coding RNA (NBEN_LNC025567)
Source: RNAcentral